AGUGAACGCUGGCGGUAGGCCUAACACAUGCAAGUCGAACGGCAGCACAGUAAGAGCUUGCUCUUACGGGUGGCGAGUGGCGGACGGGUGAGGAAUACAUCGGAAUCUACUUUUUCGUGGGGGAUAACGUAGGGAAACUUACGCUAAUACCGCAUACGACCUACGGGUGAAAGCAGGGGAUCUUCGGACCUUGCGCGAUUGAAUGAGCCGAUGUCGGAUUAGCUAGUUGGCGGGGUAAAGGCCCACCAAGGCGACGAUCCGUAGCUGGUCUGAGAGGAUGAUCAGCCACACUGGAACUGAGACACGGUCCAGACUCCUACGGGAGGCAGCAGUGGGGAAUAUUGGACAAUGGGCGCAAGCCUGAUCCAGCCAUACCGCGUGAGUGAAGAAGGCCUUCGGGUUGUAAAGCCCUUUUGUUGGGAAAGAAAAGCAGCAGGUUAAUACCCCGCUGUUCUGACGGUACCCAAAGAAUAAGCACCGGCUAACUUUGUG
Molecule: ribosomal RNA, 492 nt
Filed under: uncultured bacterium
Lineage: Bacteria
Description: partial 16S ribosomal RNA
Rfam family: Bacterial small subunit ribosomal RNA
Source: RNAcentral